CACGGAAAAUGACUGCUGCUGGUCAUGUGGAAAAAAAUAAGUGUACCUCUUGGAUGCUAAAGGAUGCACUGUAUUCAAAACUUAUUGAAUAGAUGCGUGGAGCCCGCUGGGCAAGUUCUUCAGCAAGUACCCGUGAAAAGGUUUGGCCAGCUUACGAUGAAUAAGGCAUUGGAAUAUGCAUGAAAAAAAGGAGGAAAAAGAAUUUGAGCUGCUCUUUCUAGAAAGGGUGGAUUACUGCCCCAUCUGAGGUACCUAAAUUAAUAUUUUAUACAUUCACUAUGGCAAGAUUUCUAUUUCAAAAGAAGAUUCACCUUGCUGAAGGUUCAGAUUUCCUAAACUUAGUGCAUGAAGACAAAUGACACCUAUCCCCUUAAGUGAGUGAUGUUGUUUUGUAAACUAAAUGAAGCAGAGAUCUGUAGAAAACCAGCACCAAAUCACAUAAUUAAAAUCCAUUAUAAGGUAUGUAUGGAAAGAGAUCAUUAAUUAAAGUGGUGCAGCUGACAUUCACUUUGGCAUUUCCCAGCUUUUGAAUACUUAGAUUUGCAAAUUUCAUUAAUGUUUUUCCUGUGCAUUUAAUUAAUGUCAUAUAUGGUGCAUACAGUGGUAGAAUCUAGAACCUCUAGGCAAGGACUGUAAGGCUGUGUAGUCACAACACUGAAUAUCUGUCAAAGUUACUACUGUCUUUGGCUAAAUCUGAGCAGUGAAAAAGGCUGGGAUGUGUGAUCAUUGUUUUCAGAACACUGAUAGCAGUGGGUAGCCCCUGACUUGUCCAUGUCUGUGCUUUUCACAACAGGAGAUGUGUUAUCUUUGUACUAUGCUGUGUUAUGGCCUUAGGUCUCUAAAUUUUGUAGUGAUAAAGAUGGUCAGUAGUAAUUUGUAAUAGAAAACCUUUUCAAAUCCUUAAGGCCCAUCGGUGUGUGUCAGAUCUCCCCAGCUGGAUGUUACAGGCUGCGUGUUGCUAAUGGACAAUGGAGAUUGUCAUUUUGUUUCCUUAGGAAUGCCUGUGGUUUUGGAGACGUCCAUUCUUUCUUCUUCCCACAGAGCUCAAAGUGAUUUGGGCAUGCAGUAGUGACCAUGAACAUUUCUGGCUUCUAUGCAUUUCUUACAGUAUUAGAUAAGCUGCUUGGUUUUGUAACAGAAAACAGCUAGAAUCAUCUCCUUUGAAAAUGCUUGAGUGACCAGC
RNAcentral lists this long non-coding RNA (1183 nucleotides) under Numida meleagris (helmeted guineafowl). RNAcentral's name for it is "lncRNA (ENSNMEG00000019799.1)". The record is from RNAcentral. Lineage: Eukaryota; Metazoa; Chordata; Aves; Galliformes; Numididae.